Long non-coding RNA from Thalassophryne amazonica, 146 nucleotides. RefSeq lists it as uncharacterized. The record is from RefSeq and is a predicted model, not a curated record. NCBI's taxonomy places the organism in Eukaryota, Metazoa, Chordata, Actinopteri, Batrachoidiformes, Batrachoididae. The transcript is spliced from 3 exons.
UGCAAAGAACAGUUGAAAAAUGUCAAUGAAUCCCAACGACAACUUCACUUCAUCCGUAUCUCAUUUUGCUGUCUGUCUUGACGGUUCCUUAUCGUUUGCGUAGUUUCCGUAACACCAGUGUUCCGUUUGACUAUUGCACAACUGAG